Molecule: long non-coding RNA, 339 nt
Organism: Pungitius pungitius (ninespine stickleback)
Lineage: Eukaryota; Metazoa; Chordata; Actinopteri; Perciformes; Gasterosteidae
Exons: 3
Source: RefSeq, a predicted model, not a curated record
CGAAUAGCAGACUCAGCCCAGAAUGUAUGCAGGCCAGCCCGUGGGUGCGUUAGAUCCUGCUCUCAUUCUCUCUGUUGACUGACGUAGGACGAAAAUUACGGUUGGAUAACUUGCAUAACUAAGUAUUUACUAUAGAGUGAUCAAGGGUGGGGCCUGUGCACUGAACCGUCCAUCAGGGCAUGGAACAUGUGAACAUACAAUAAGCGCUCGUAAUUGAACAGCAUGCAAGCGCCAAACAACGUGCGCUUUUUUCCAAACCGGAGGCCGCCGCCGCCGCUCCGCUCAGCGCGAGGAGGCGAACCCGGCGCCCUCGCGGCCCCCGGCGCCCUCGCGGCCCCC